This 524-nucleotide ribosomal RNA is filed under the name uncultured bacterium. Its description in RNAcentral is "partial 16S ribosomal RNA". It matches the Rfam family "Bacterial small subunit ribosomal RNA", at positions 28 to 523 of the family's 1533-position model. The record is from RNAcentral.
GACGAACGCUGGCGGCGUGCCUAAUACAUGCAAGUCGAACGCUUCUUUUUCCACCGGAGCUUGCUCCACCGGAAAAAGAGGAGUGGCGAACGGGUGAGUAACACGUGGGUAACCUGCCCAUCAGAAGGGGAUAACACUUGGAAACAGGUGCUAAUACCGUAUAACAAUCGAAACCGCAUGGUUUUGAUUUGAAAGGCGCUUUCGGGUGUCGCUGAUGGAUGGACCCGCGGUGCAUUAGCUAGUUGGUGAGGUAACGGCUCACCAAGGCCACGAUGCAUAGCCGACCUGAGAGGGUGAUCGGCCACAUUGGGACUGAGAACCGGCCCAAACUCCUACGGGAGGCAGCAGUAGGGAAUCUUCGGCAAUGGACGAAAGUCUGACCGAGCAACGCCGCGUGAGUGAAGAAGGUUUUCGGAUCGUAAAACUCUGUUGUUAGAGAAGAACAAGGAUGAGAGUAACUGUUCAUCCCUUGACGGUAUCUAACCAGAAAGCCACGGCUAACUACGUGCCAGCCGCCGCAGUAA